Molecule: long non-coding RNA, 2250 nt
Filed under: Homo sapiens (human)
Lineage: Eukaryota; Metazoa; Chordata; Mammalia; Primates; Hominidae
Description: HSALNT0055421
Source: RNAcentral
GAUUAGAAUUAAAUUUAUUAAAUACAUUUAUUAAAUUAAGUAGAUUAAAUAAAUUAAAUUUAUUAAAAAAAUAGAUUAUAAUGGAAUUUUAAUUCCAUUACAAUCCAAACAGAGCCUCUCUCUGUUUAUUAUUUAGGUUGUCACUAUCAUAAAAUUUCAGGACACCAGAGAUAAAAAGAAGAGAAUGGAGUUCUCCAGAGUGAAUGCAGAGACAUUUCACACACACACACACACACACACACACACACACACACACACACACAAUACAUAUGUAUGUAUUUAUUUGGGAUCAGAAUGACAUAGGAUUCUCAAUGAUGACAUUGAAAGCUGGGACAAUGAAACAAGAGCUUCAAAAUUCUGGGGAAAAUUAUUUUCAGCCUAGAAAUUUAUGCCUUCCAAACAAUCAAGCAUGAGGAUAAGAAAAAAAAGAGUUUUUUAGACUUUCAUAUUUCAAAAUAAUUACCUUUGAUGCAGACUUUUUCUUUGUUCUAGUAAAAAGAAAGAAUGGACUAAAACAGAGGAAGAAAAUCCAGAAAAGGAGGACUCCAAUCCAGAUUAAAGGAAUUUCCAAAAUGGUGGCUGAGACAAAACCUGGGGUUCAAGUCAUGUUACAGAGAUGGUGUUCCAGAUUAGUGCAGAAUAGUGGGCUCAAGAAGAAAUGCCUUCAAGAAAAGAUUGAAACCAACACACUACAAGUUUGACAUUGGAAAAGUUGAAUUGAAGAGUUGUUGGAAGGUUCUGAAGACCUCAAAUGGACUGAGCCACACUACCAGCAUCCAGCAUCCAUGGUUCUCCAGUCUGCAGAUGGCCUAUUAUGGGACUUUUCAGUCUUCAUAAUUAUAUGAGAGAAAGAAAAUGAAAAGGAUUUGUAAACUAUAAAUCUCUAAACAGAUGGGAGGAAAGGAAUUGAUGAAACAAUAAAUUUAUUGAUGAAACAAUAAAAAUAAACAUAAAGAACCAAAGGUAGGUUUGGACAUUCAUUAAUUUACUCUUGUAAUAUUUAUUGAGUAGCUUGUAUGUGGUAGGUACCAUACUCAGGGCGGGAGAUUAGUGAUGAACAAGACAGAUGAGCUCCCACAACUCACCACAUCUUGCUGCCAGACAGGAGAGACAUAAGUUACACAUGUAAGCAAACAGUUAAUAUCCCUAUAAAAAGUGCUAUGGAGAAAAGAAGCAGGACACUAAGAGAGAAAGAAACAAGGAAAACCAACACAGUAAAUUUUUCUGGCUGAGGAAACUAAGCCUGGAGGGUGGGAUGGAGUUAGACCAGCAAAUAAAGGGGUAUGCAGGAAUGUCCAAAGCAAAAACAACUCAAGGAUGACAAGUGUGGCAAGAGCACUUAACAGAAACCUGUGAUAGCAGACAUGUAAGCUAUGAAAGGGGUUUGACUUUGAUUCUAAGUGCAAGGAAAGCCACUGAAGGCUUUUAAGCAGGAGAGUGACGGGAUUUAGAAUUAUGCUUUAGAAAAUUCAUUUUUACUCUUUGAUUGUGAGGGUCAAGAAUGGAAAGAGGAAGCUACUGCAGAGGACCAGGAGAGUGAUGAUGAUGGCUUAGAUUAAGGGACAGGCUUUUCUGUCUAGUUUUCUGUCUAGUAAAACUAGACAGAAACUAGAGCCUUCUUGCUUGUUCCCUGAUAAGAUAAGCAAUGCUAAUAAACUAAGUCUAAAUAGAACGUAUGCCUUUUCUUGCAUUUCAAUGUAUUUUAAUUUCUUUGUUAAUAACAAUUAACCACUUGUACAGAAGAGUCGAGGCAUUGAGGUGUAAGAGAACUAGAAAUAAUUCUCUCAUAAGCAGUAGAAAUAGUAGGAAUUAGGUUCAAGACACAUGUUGGAGGUGGAAUUAAGAGGAUUUGUUGAUAGAAUAAUAAUAAUUGGGAAGGAGAAAAAGGUAAUUCUAAGGUUUCUAGCUUGAGCAACUAGGAGGGGGAUUCUGCUAUUUACAGAAAUGGGGAAGCUGGAACAUGUUUCUAAGGGAAAUAAAAAUAUACCUUUAUGGCAUGUUAAAUUUUGACAUCCAAAUGAAACUAUCAACAACGCAGUUAGCUAGGCAAUCAAAGAAUGAGCUAAAGAAAUAUGAGAGUCAUGACAGUACAGAUUCAUUCUUCCAACUGCCCACUGGCCUAGAUUGGGUGAAAAGCCAUCAACCCAUGUCACUUUAGGCUGCCAAGCUUAGACAUGCCAUGCAUGAUUGGCCGAGUAAGUGGUUUUCUUUUCAGGCCAGGAUCAAGCCUUUUUCAUUUACUUUCAAAUG